AACCCAUGGUGAGGGUACCUUCUCAAUAAGUCUUUGUAUCUCUCCCAUGUAUCAUAAAAAGUUUCUAGGUCCAUCUGCACAAACAAAGAGAUAUCAUUGUGUAAUU
Non-coding RNA from Gossypium arboreum, 106 nucleotides. The record is from Rfam. NCBI's taxonomy places the organism in Eukaryota, Viridiplantae, Streptophyta, Magnoliopsida, Malvales, Malvaceae.